Lentinula aciculospora is the source of this 85-nucleotide non-coding RNA. The record is from the annotation of a GenBank genome assembly. Lineage: Eukaryota; Fungi; Basidiomycota; Agaricomycetes; Agaricales; Omphalotaceae.
GGGCGUAUGGUCUAGAGGUAUGAUACCUGCUUUGGGUUGAUUUACUCAUUGCAGGGGGUCUUCGGUUCGAAUCCGGAUUCGCCCC